GGGCUGCAAGGAAAUCUGGCGCGGUUCAAUACCUCGUCUAGCCUGGGUUCCAGCAUCUAAUUUUUUUUUUUAACUGACAAACUCAUUUCUCUACCGGGACAGGAUGCUGUGCUGGCUGGAAGUUCCAUUUCUACAGCAAGAAUCCUAUCUGGAAACACAGAAGUUGUCCUCUAGCCACAGCAGCUCGAACUUUUUUGAUUGUUGUUGCUGCUUUCUCCCAUCACCCCCAUCCCCUUUUGACAAAGAUCCAACUGUAAAAAGUCUUACGUAACAGUUCAGGACUACUUCGGUUCUUUUACUGGAUGCAGAAUCUACCUACGUUCGGCUGAAAAGCAGAUGGCAGAAUCCACAGAGGAAAGAGAAGGAAAGGUAAACUAUUUUUAUCAAGAAAGGGGACCUGUGGAAAGCACAGGUGCAAGGACAGUAGAAAAUAACAGGCUCCAGGACAUGGUGGAAGUGGUCAAUUUGGAUGGCAUACACAUCGUCCUAAGAGAAUGAAGAUGAUGAAUGAAAUUCCAGCUUACUCCUAUUCUCUCAGGCUGUACCUCAACAGGAUCCAACUGGAUCCUGUGAUCCCAUAUCCUGUCAAGGGGCCUGGCAUGGAGUAUGGAAUAAAUAUUUU
Molecule: long non-coding RNA, 622 nt
Organism: Propithecus coquereli (Coquerel's sifaka)
Lineage: Eukaryota; Metazoa; Chordata; Mammalia; Primates; Indriidae
Exons: 3
Source: RefSeq, a predicted model, not a curated record